GUCUUUAUGAAAAUAAUUUAAAGUCUAAUCUGCCCACUGAAUAAUUAAUUUAAAGGGCUGCAGUAUAUUGACUGUACAAAGGUAGCAUAAUCAAUAGUCUUUUAAUUGAAGACUUGUAUGAAUGAUUUAAUGAAAUAUAAACUGUCUCUUUAUUAAAAUUAGAAUUUAAUUUUUUAGUUAAAAAGCUAAAAUUAUUAUAAAAGACGAGAAGACCCUAUAGAGUUUUAUAUUUUUAUAUUAAUAUUAAAUAUUAUAUAAUUUAUAAAUUAUUUAUAUAAAAAUAUUUUAUUGGGGUGAUAGAAAAAUAAAAAGAACUUUUUUUAAAAAAUUAACAUUAAUUUAUGAUUAAAUGAUCCAUAAUUUAUGAUUAUAAGAUUAAAUUACCUUAGGGAUAACAGCGUAAUUUUUUUUUUUAGUUCAAAUAAAAAUAAAAGUUUGCGACCUCGAUGUUGGAUUAAGAUAAAAUUUAAAUGCAAAAGUUUAAAAUUUUGAUCUGUUCGAUCAUUAAAAUCUUACA
Molecule: ribosomal RNA, 517 nt
Filed under: Colotis incretus
Lineage: Eukaryota; Metazoa; Arthropoda; Insecta; Lepidoptera; Pieridae
Description: partial 16S ribosomal RNA
Rfam family: Bacterial large subunit ribosomal RNA (bases 391-517)
Source: RNAcentral